RNAcentral lists this ribosomal RNA (610 nucleotides) under uncultured Actinomycetes bacterium. RNAcentral describes it as "bacterial SSU rRNA". It matches the Rfam family "Bacterial small subunit ribosomal RNA", at positions 251 to 871 of the family's 1533-position model. The record is from RNAcentral. Lineage: Bacteria; Bacillati; Actinomycetota; Actinomycetes.
GGUGAGGUAAUGGCUCACCAAGGCGACGACGGGUAGCCGGCCUGAGAGGGUGACCGGCCACACUGGGACUGAGACACGGCCCAGACUCCUACGGGAGGCAGCAGUGGGGAAUAUUGCACAAUGGGCGCAAGCCUGAUGCAGCGACGCCGCGUGAGGGAUGACGGCCUUCGGGUUGUAAACCUCUUUCAGUAGGGAAGAAGCGAAAGUGACGGUACCUGCAGAAGAAGCACCGGCUAACUACGUGCCAGCAGCCGCGGUAAUACGUAGGGUGCGAGCGUUAUCCGGAAUUAUUGGGCGUAAAGAGCUCGUAGGCGGUUUGUCGCGUCUGUCGUGAAAGUCCGGGGCUUAACCCCGGAUCUGCGGUGGGUACGGGCAGACUAGAGUGCAGUAGGGGAGACUGGAAUUCCUGGUGUAGCGGUGGAAUGCGCAGAUAUCAGGAGGAACACCGAUGGCGAAGGCAGGUCUCUGGGCUGUAACUGACGCUGAGGAGCGAAAGCAUGGGGAGCGAACAGGAUUAGAUACCCUGGUAGUCCAUGCCGUAAACGUUGGGCACUAGGUGUGGGGACCAUUCCACGGUUUCCGCGCCGCAGCUAACGCAUUAAGUGCCCCG